AGCGUGUGGGCACCACCA
This 18-nucleotide small RNA is filed under the name Arabidopsis thaliana (thale cress). RNAcentral describes it as "ATSL143770". Lineage: Eukaryota; Viridiplantae; Streptophyta; Magnoliopsida; Brassicales; Brassicaceae. The record is from RNAcentral.